Aedes albopictus (Asian tiger mosquito) is the source of this 1028-nucleotide long non-coding RNA. RefSeq lists it as uncharacterized. NCBI's taxonomy places the organism in Eukaryota, Metazoa, Arthropoda, Insecta, Diptera, Culicidae. The transcript has 3 exons. The record is from RefSeq and is a predicted model, not a curated record.
AAAAGGGGUUUUUGCUUGGGUUUUUGAGUAAUUCCGAAACAGUGUGUAUCGAUAACAGCCAAGUUUUGUUGUAGUCAGCUCGGUCGUCAGCGGUAAAAAAUUCCGAAUAGCAGUUUUGUGUGCGGAAAAUGUGGAAAAUUCACGCUCAGCUGCGUGAAUUUUCCGCAUUUUCCUCACGGGAGAAAAUAUAGUGUGUGGUGCAGUGCUGAAUCAUUCAACAGUUGCGGCAUUUCAACAGUGACAAGGACGUCAAGCCGGUGCGCGGUGCAUAAGCAAUCAACCCAGAGCUUGUUGAAUGCCGAUCUAAGCAAGAUCUGCAUGAGGGCCAACGGACUUAUUGUAAAAAUACUAAUUUCCCUUCCUUCAAUUUGACAGCAAUCUUGACUGCAAUAGUUUCAUCAUCAAACUUUUUUUCGUGAAAUCAAAUGUGAAACAUAUUACUGAGUAGAACCGUAGAACCAUGUUUUGCAUUUGGUAGCUUUGCAAGGUUUUUAAAUCUAGGUUCGCUCUUUAAACUUGGAACACAUGCAUGCCUUUGAAUCAAAUUCUAUAUUGUAUGCUGUAUUCCACAAGCUGUAGUUCAUCAAAUGUCCAUAAAUGCUACAAUAAUGGUUAAACACGCUGUAAUGUUACUUUUGUACCUCAUCACCCACUAAAUGCAACUACAUUAGUGGUCUAAUAACACUUAGCGCGCUUCGGCACGGUUCCAUCAUGCCGCUUAUAGUGUUGCCACAUAUAAUGCUUAUCUGCUAAACCCAGUUAUCUGGCCAGUGGGGCAUGGGAGCCCAAGCUUCAAUCAUUAAUGCAAUUAAACAUUACUCGGUUUACGACAUGAUUGAUCCAAAUAUUAGAUAAUUGUUCGAUCUGUGUUCUUAAAAUGUAGCCCUGAAUGUAGCAUAAAAUAUACAAGCUUCUAGUCCAAAUGCAUAAAGAUAGUUCAGAUUCACUGUUUUUCAGAAUUUUCUCAAGCAAUCAGUAACAAAAGUAAAAAGCAGAAAUAGAUCAAAUCAUGCCAAAAUGUUCAUAAU